This 1406-nucleotide long non-coding RNA is filed under the name Brassica napus (rape). Its description in RNAcentral is "long non-coding RNA (BNAP_LNC002634)". The record is from RNAcentral. Lineage: Eukaryota; Viridiplantae; Streptophyta; Magnoliopsida; Brassicales; Brassicaceae.
GACCAUGUUGGUGAUCUUGGAGAUGAGGUAGGGAUCUAGGGAAUAGCGGGAAGCUAGGGUUUUGGCGGAGCAGCCGUGAGCGAGGCGGGAGAGGACCAUGGCGACGGCGUAGUCGGCGGGGAGGGAGAGGUUGGAGGCGGCGAUGAAAGGUUGAAGCUUUUCGACGACGGUGGUGAAGACGGGGUAGGAGAGGCCGUAGAGGGAGCGCCAGCGGGCGUCGCGGAGGGGGGCGUCGAGGGCCCAGAUGUGGUCGUUGGCGAGGGCGCGGAAGGAGGCGACGGAGUAGUCGCCGUCGGGGAGAGGGGGAGGAGGGGAGGGGGAUUGGGAUUGGGAGGAGGAGGAGGAUCUGGCGACGGAGAGGAAGGAGAGGAGAGAUGCGAGGGUGAAGAAGAGGAGAGGCGCGGCGGAGGAGGAUGAGAGGAGGGAGGAAGGGGUGGUGGGAGAGGGUGAAGAGGUGGAGGCGGAGGAGGAGGAGGAGAAGAUGGUGCUUGUUGGGUCAAGGGAGUUUUGGAGGUGGAGGAGGUGGGAGAGCAUCGCCAUGAAAGCUUCUUCCAUCUUCACUCUCUUCUCCGAUGAGGAACGAAGUAAACUAAAGGUUUGGGCUUUUAUUAAUUACAGAGCUGUUUGUAAUAUAAUAUUCUAUAACUAUCCGAAAGUAUAUAUAUUUUUUUUUUUUUUGUCAUCUGGUAGAUUUAUAUUAACUUGAAAUGGGAGUACACAAAGCCAGCAAAGGUGAUUAAACCUUUCUGGAGCCAUAAGCCGGGGAGGUGAUGAACACCAUCCGGAGGCACAGAUUGAUACAAAUUUGAAACUAGAAACUAGACUAGAAGAUGAAAGCACAUAAGAGGAGGAUGGUUAAGAUACAUGAGACUGCAACAAUGGUGAAAUUGACUGGAUACGGACGAUGAUUAGAGAGUGAGAUCAGUGCACACCUAAUUAACUGAGUUUCAAGGUAGUAUCCAAGAGCGCUUCCAUCAGUGAAACCCGCUCCAGCACCACACAAAGAACUACCGGAAACUCAAUCACAAUUAACACACGCUGAGAAGAACAAAGAAGUAGACUGGAGGAACAAGAACAUCACCAAAACAUAAACUGAAUCGCGAGAGGUUAGAAUCCUUAACCGUAGCUGAACACACUAAAGGUUGAAGCUUUUCGACGACGGUGGUGAAGACGGGGUAGGAGAGGCCGUAGAGGGAGCGCCAGCGGGCGUCGCGGAGGGGGGCGUCGAGGGCCCAGAUGUGGUCGUUGGCGAGGGCGCGGAAGGAGGCGACGGAGUAGUCGCUGGAUAAAAACCACUCGAAAUCCAAGACUAAAACGAUCACCUCGGCGGAAAUCGACCAACAAUGAAGCAUUUGUACUGUUACACAGCUAUCUCCUUCUGAUCCUCUCAGAGCUAAAGAAUCGCA